UACAUAGGGUGCAAGCGUUAAUCGGAAUUACUGGGCGUAAAGCGUGCGCAGGCGGUUUGGUAAGACAGAUGUGAAAUCCCCGGGCUUAACCUGGGAAUUGCAUUUGUGACUGCCCGGCUAGAGUUUGGCAGAGGGGGGUAGAAUUCCACGUGUAGCAGUGAAAUGCGUAGAUAUGUGGAGGAAUACCGAUGGCGAAGGCAGCCCCCUGGGUCAAGACUGACGCUCAUGCACGAAAGCGUGGGGAGCAAACAGG
Molecule: ribosomal RNA, 253 nt
Filed under: uncultured bacterium
Lineage: Bacteria
Description: partial 16S ribosomal RNA
Rfam family: Bacterial small subunit ribosomal RNA
Source: RNAcentral